This 204-nucleotide long non-coding RNA is filed under the name Mytilus galloprovincialis (Mediterranean mussel). Lineage: Eukaryota; Metazoa; Mollusca; Bivalvia; Mytilida; Mytilidae. The record is from RNAcentral.
CGUUAAUGAAAUAGCAAUAACCAAAUAACGCUUGAUAUGGACACGUUUUGGGGAUUGGACACGUUUGGGGGUUAGUUGAGAAAUGGACACGUUUGGGCGUUUAUACAAAUGACACGCUUUGGCGCAGUUUUCAACUAGACAUGUUUGGGGGAAUCGGACACGUUUGGGAGGAAGGACACGUUUCUGAGUGUUACAUAUAUAUGU